RNAcentral lists this ribosomal RNA (233 nucleotides) under uncultured bacterium. RNAcentral describes it as "partial 16S ribosomal RNA". It matches the Rfam family "Bacterial small subunit ribosomal RNA", at positions 99 to 334 of the family's 1533-position model. The record is from RNAcentral.
CGAACGGGUGAGUAAUGCUUCGGAAUCUACCCAAAUGGUGGGGAAUAACCAGCCGAAAGGUUGGCUAAUACCGCAUAAGUCCUACGGGAGAAAGCAGGGGAUCGUAAGACCUUGCGCCGAUGGAUGAGCCGAAGCCGGAUUAGCUAGUUGGUGAGGUAACGGCUCACCAAGGCGACAAUCCGUAGCUGGUCUGAGAGGACGACCAGCCACACUGGGACUGAGACACGGCCCAG